This is a non-coding RNA of Equus caballus (horse), 2330 nucleotides long. The record is from RefSeq and is a predicted model, not a curated record. Lineage: Eukaryota; Metazoa; Chordata; Mammalia; Perissodactyla; Equidae.
CAUCCACUAAGCUAGCAUUCUAAUCCAGUGACCUUAUUUUUCAAAAUGUAGGAGAAUAAAGACUUCUCAGACAAACAAAAAUAGGAGACCUGCCCUGCAAGAAAUGUUAAAGUUGUUCAGAGAGAAGAAAAUGAUCCAGGUCAGAAACUUUAUCUGCAUAAAGAAUGAGAAAGCAUCAGAGAAGGAAUAAACGAAGGCUCAGGGAAAGGCAGGGCGUCGUCAGUGUCGCUGGGUCCUGGCAGGAGCCGUGUAGGAGAGCGACGCAGCUGCAGACGGAGAGCUCCUUCCGUGAUCCUUGGGCUGAGUCUUUUAUCUCCAACGACUUCUCUCCUGUGGUACCAGCUACCGUUCACGCCACUGUAAAUCCUGGUAUUGCAUGUGAAAAUCGUAAAGGACCUGAAUGAUGUUUGCUUCUUCAUUCCUUUGAAAAGAUUGGAUUUUCUCCUGGCAGAGGGUGAGAUUGCAAGCAGAUGACCUUGAUCCAGUUGAGAGCAGAUUUCAGGCUUCCUUAGGGGGCUGGUCUGUUUCUCAUUUGUGCUUACUCCUGGGAAUAACAUCUACCUCUAGGGCAUAGGUCUCUGGGUCUCAAUAGGAACUCUGGGGUUUUUAGCAAAGUCUUUCUGCCCUUUGAGCCAUGAACUCUGACUUCUCACCCCAGUUCCAUGAGAUUGUCAAAAUCUCUGCUCAGAUUUUUAGCCUACAAGGGCUGCUUUCUGCUUGUUUUAUUUUUCAGCAUUUUGUUUGUUGUAUUAGAGGCUUAGGAUUCGGCAAAUACUUAGAGGAAAUGUUGAAUAGAGAGUUUCGGGCUCACAUCUAUGAUUCUCUCUUCUCUAAGAUUAUAGCCCCUGAAAUCCCUGCCAUUAUGACAUUCCUUAACCCCAGUCUUUGCCUCCACAGUCCAGUGAAACUCCCACAAGCACCCCAACACAUGUAUACUUGUCUUCUCUUCACAGCACAGGAAAUUUUCAGAUCCCUGGAGGAAGUAUGGGCCACAACUCAAUGUCCUUUCUUUCUUUGUUGGAUCUUGGUAACUCGAAUCCUGAAGUUUGUUGUUUUUAAUUGAUGUCUUAUAUUUGUAUCCUUUGGGAGUGUUAGACUGAUGUAAACUUCUCCACUGAAAGGAAAGUGCUGGUGAUUUUAAAAUCUGGAGUACAUUCCAGGUCUUGGUACUGGCACCAACAGGUGACAGGGUGCUAAAACUGCUCAGCUCCUAUAAGGGCCAUUCUUCCCAGCACCCCCUUCAAUUAUAGUCUUUGAAUACAAUAUUUAAAGCAGGCAUUCUUAGUACAAAGAACAAGAGAUCGACAGAUUGUCUGAUCAAGAAAAUUUCUCCACUGAUGAGGCAGAGAACCCUUGAUAUCCUCCCUAGUAGGAUUUUAUAAUUGCUAGAGACCACUGAGGGCUUUGCAUUUCCCAUUGUUCUCCACUCUUUAUGAUAGUUUAGUUUUAUUUUUCUUGUUCUCUUGGAUCAUUGUUUAAAUAUGUCAUGAGCAGGUAGCUUGUAAUUUAGUUUAUACAUCAUCAAACCACAAGAAAUCAUAGCCAGACUUGAUGGGAAGGAUUAAACAUCACUCAGAGAUCUUAUAUUUUGACCUGGAUGCUAAAAAGAUAGGGCCGUAUGGCUGUCUCUUUUGGAGAGGUGGGAAGUAUACUUAAUGCCUGGGAAGAUGUGUGUAUGAAUGUUGUGUAUGGAUGUUGGGGAACCAAAGUGUGAACUGUAGGAGAGAUUGUUUAUUGCCUACGUAAUAAGUAGCCUUACUUUGUUCCUUACUAAUCAGACUCCACUUUGUGGUAAGCUGCGUGAACCUCUAAAACUUUACAUUUCCCAACCUUCCUGGCAGACAGAAAAAAUCACUGACUCACUUUUACCAAAUGACAGAUGAGCAGAAGUCAUUGAGUAGAGCUUCCAGGAAAGGACCCUAAAAGAGGGGAAGAAUCACCUAGUAUAGGUCCUUUUUGCUGUUGUUGUUCUUUUGCUCCUUCUCUAUCUCCUUGCUUCCAAUAUUAAUAAUAAUAUUAAUGGAGGAUUGGAACUGUGGCAUCUCUCUUCACUAUCUUCACAUUAUGAAGGUGAAGCCAAGAUGAUCUCAGUCCUAGGCUCUGACAGCCAUGACCAGUUGAUAUAAUUGUCAGCACCUGCCUACCUUCUGACUUUUGUUACGUGGGAAAAUAAAGCUCUCAGUUGUUUAAAACACUGUACAAUGAUUUAUUUUCCUUGUAGGUAAACCCCGCAGUUUCAAAUCUGCAUUAUUAAGAGUAGAAGGGACUGUACAAUCUUCUCUUUUCCUCAAAGCACCCUCAAAUCCACAUUUUAUGGAACUAAAUGUCAA